GGAUAUCUUUAGUAAUUGCGAAUGAACAAGGAUAUGCUUAGCUUGACAAAUGGAGCUAUUGGCUUUGAAUUGUAUUGUGGAAAUGUAUUACCAACAGAGGUGCAGGUGCCAGCCUAUUGAAAUAAAGCGUCAAUGAGGGUGAGAAUCCUGUUUGUCAUGUGCAGCCCUUUGUGCACGGUGUAUAUUUGCUGAGUCACACUCCUUGGCAUUGGAAUGCAAAGUGGGUGGUAAGUUUCAUGUAAAGGUAAACAUGCAAUUGAGACUGAUAGCACACAAGUACCAUGAGGGAAAUAUGAAAAGGACUUUGAAAAGAAUUAAUGACUUUGUAUUUGCUGAACACAAAGUAAACAGACUUGAUUUGCUUGGUGGGAGUGUUGCACUUGCUUGACAAGAGCUUUGGGCUGUGGGUGUAAUGAUUCUUUCUUUGCAUGCCAGUUUCUAUUUGUACAUCUGAUUACCUUUGCACAUGAAUGAUAAGUCUCCUGUGGGGGUGGAUUGCAUGUGCAUGUAAUGAUUUGUGUUUUGAUAAAUGUGUCUGGUGUAUGUGUGUGUUCCUGUGCUUGGGGAUGCUUCCUUCCUUGGACUUACAAGCCCUGACACACACAUGCUGGCAAAAUGCUUCUGCUUGACCCGUCUUGAAACACGGACCAAGGAGUCUAACAGAUGUGCAAGUUUAAGGUGGUAUACCUUUGUGUGCAAUGAAAGUGUCAGCUGGGAUAUGUGCACCAGCACCCAAUUAAUUAGCGACAGAGGUUUGAGUUGGAGCAUAUCUAUUAGGACCCGAAAGAUGGUGAACUAUGCCUGAACAGAAUGAAUUCAGAAGAAACUCUGAUGGAGGUUCGUAUCGAUACUGACGUGCAAAUCGUUCGUCAUAUUUGGGUAGGGGCGAAAGACUAAUCGAACCAUCUAGUAGCUGGUUCCCUCCGAAGUUUCCCUCAGGAUAGCUGGAGUUGCUCAGUUUUAUGGUAAAGCGAAUGAUUGAAUGGGGCAGGUUUGUCUUUGACAUUCCAAACUU
This 1015-nucleotide ribosomal RNA is filed under the name Alexandrium catenella. RNAcentral describes it as "partial large subunit ribosomal RNA". It matches the Rfam family "Eukaryotic large subunit ribosomal RNA", at positions 72 to 1065 of the family's 3401-position model. The record is from RNAcentral. Lineage: Eukaryota; Dinophyceae; Gonyaulacales; Pyrocystaceae.